RNAcentral lists this ribosomal RNA (429 nucleotides) under Pseudomonadota bacterium. Its description in RNAcentral is "Proteobacteria bacterium partial 16S ribosomal RNA". It matches the Rfam family "Bacterial small subunit ribosomal RNA", at positions 355 to 776 of the family's 1533-position model. Lineage: Bacteria; Pseudomonadati; Pseudomonadota. The record is from RNAcentral.
UGGGGAAUAUUGGACAAUGGGGGGAACCCUGAUCCAGCCAUGCCGCGUGUGUGAAGAAGGCCUUAUGGUUGUAAGCACUUUAAGCGAGGAGGAGGGUACUGGUAUUAAUACUACCAGGUACUGGACGUUACUCGCAGAAUAAGCACCGGCUAACUCUGUGCCAGCAGCCGCGGUAAUACAGAGGGUGCGAGCGUUAAUCGGAUUUACUGGGCGUAAAGCGUGCGUAGGCGGCUAAUUGAGUCGGAUGUGAAAUCCCCGAGCUUAACUUGGGAAUUGCAUUCGAUACUGGUUAGCUUGAGUGUGGGAGAGGAUGGUAGAAUUCCAAGUGUAGCGGUGAAAUGCGUAGAGAUCUGGAGGAAUACCGAUGGCGAAGGCAGCCAUCUGGCCUAACACUGACGCUGAGGUACGAAAGCAUGGGGAGCAAACAGG